GUCGGUGGAGGCCAGAAGGUCAGGUGGCUCAAGAAGGAAAUGGAGAAAUAUGCGAGUCAGGAGGACAUGAUCAUCAUGUUUGUGGACAGGUAAGGGGGUCUGGCGUGGAAAGAGAGGGGAAACUGUUUUGGAGAGAGGACACAAGACUGAGGCUCCCUUUUCCUUGCACAGCUACGAUGUGAUUCUGGCGAGCAGCCCAACAGAGCUGCUGAAGAAGUUUGUUCAGAGUGGCAGUCAUCUGCUGUUCUCCGCUGAGAGCUUCUGCUGGCCUGACUGGGGGCUGGCAGAGCAGUACCCUGAGGUGGGCGUGGGGAAGCGCUUCCUCAACUCUGGUGGAUUCAUUGGCUUCGCUCCCACCAUCCAUCGGAUUGUCCGCCAGUGGAAGU
This 386-nucleotide long non-coding RNA is filed under the name Rattus norvegicus (Norway rat). Its description in RNAcentral is "long non-coding RNA NONRATT007851". Lineage: Eukaryota; Metazoa; Chordata; Mammalia; Rodentia; Muridae. The record is from RNAcentral.